UACGUAGGGUGCAAGCGUUAAUCGGAAUUACUGGGCGUAAAGCGUGCGCAGGCGGUUGUGCAAGACAGAUGUGAAAUCCCCGGGCUCAACCUGGGAACUGCAUUUGUGACUGCACGGCUGGAGUGCGGCAGAGGGGGAUGGAAUUCCGCGUGUAGCAGUGAAAUGCGUAGAUAUGCGGAGGAACACCGAUGGCGAAGGCAAUCCCCUGGGCCUGCACUGACGCUCAUGCACGAAAGCGU
This 239-nucleotide ribosomal RNA is filed under the name uncultured bacterium. Its description in RNAcentral is "partial 16S ribosomal RNA". It matches the Rfam family "Bacterial small subunit ribosomal RNA", at positions 524 to 762 of the family's 1533-position model. The record is from RNAcentral.